GAUGAACGCUAGCUACAGGCUUAACACAUGCAAGUCGAGGGGCAGCAUGUCGGUUGCUUGCAACCGACGAUGGCGACCGGCGCACGGGUGAGUAACGCGUAUCCAACCUACCCUUGUCCAUCGGAUAACCCGUCGAAAGGCGGCCUAACACGAUAUGCGGUUCACCGCAGGCAUCUAAGGUGAACGAAAUGUGAAGGAGAAGGAUGGGGAUGCGUCUGAUUAGCUUGUUGGCGGGGUAACGGCCCACCAAGGCUACGAUCAGUAGGGGUUCUGAGAGGAAGGUCCCCCACAUUGGAACUGAGACACGGUCCAAACUCCUACGGGAGGCAGCAGUGAGGAAUAUUGGUCAAUGGGCGAGAGCCUGAACCAGCCAAGUAGCGUGCAGGAUGACGGCCCUAUGGGUUGUAAACUGCUUUUAUGCGGGAUAAAGUGGGCCACGUGUGGCCCUUUGACAGGUACCGCAUGAAUAAGGACCGGCUAAUUCCGUGCCAGCAGCCG
This 498-nucleotide ribosomal RNA is filed under the name uncultured bacterium. RNAcentral's name for it is "bacterial SSU rRNA". It matches the Rfam family "Bacterial small subunit ribosomal RNA", at positions 28 to 517 of the family's 1533-position model. The record is from RNAcentral.